UACGGAGGGAGCUAGCGUUGUUCGGAAUUACUGGGCGUAGAGCGCACGUAGGCGGCUUUGUGAGUUAGAGGUGAAAGCCCGGGGCUCAACCCCGGAAUUGCCUUUAAGACUGCAUCGCUUGAAUCCGAGAGAGGUGAGUGGAAUUCCGAGUGUAGAGGUGAAAUUCGUAGAUAUUCGGAAGAACACCAGUGGCGAAGGCGGCUCACUGGACCGGUAUUGACGCUGAGGUGCGAAAGCGUGGGGAGCAAACAGG
RNAcentral lists this ribosomal RNA (253 nucleotides) under uncultured bacterium. Its description in RNAcentral is "partial 16S ribosomal RNA". It matches the Rfam family "Bacterial small subunit ribosomal RNA", at positions 524 to 776 of the family's 1533-position model. The record is from RNAcentral.